GCGGAGGAAAAGAAACCAACAGGGAUUGCCCUAGUAACGGCGAGUGAAGCGGCAACAGCUCAAAUUUGAAAGCUGGCCUUCGGGUCCGCAUUGUAAUUUGUAGAGGAUGCUUUGGGUGAAACGCCAGUCUAAGUUCCUUGGAACAGGACGUCAUAGAGGGUGAGAAUCCCGUAUGUGACUGGAAAUGUUAACCUAUGUAAAGCUCCUUCGACGAGUCGAGUUGUUUGGGAAUGCAGCUCUAAAUGGGAGGUAAAUUUCUUCUAAAGCUAAAUAUUGGCGAGAGACCGAUAGCGCACAAGUAGAGUGAUCGAAAGAUGAAAAGCACUUUGGAAAGAGAGUUAAAAAGCACGUGAAAUUGUUGAAAGGGAAGCGCUUGCAAUCAGACUUGUUUAAACUGUUCGGCCGGUCUUCUGACCGGUUUACUCAGUUUGGACAGGCCAGCAUCAGUUUCGGCGGCCGGAUAAAGGCUCUGGGAAUGUGGCCUUCACUUCGGUGAAGGUGUUAUAGCCCAGGGUGUAAUACGGCCAGCCGGGACUGAGGUCCGCGCUUCGGCUAGGAUG
This 560-nucleotide ribosomal RNA is filed under the name Aureobasidium melanogenum. RNAcentral's name for it is "partial large subunit ribosomal RNA". It matches the Rfam family "Eukaryotic large subunit ribosomal RNA", at positions 50 to 625 of the family's 3401-position model. Lineage: Eukaryota; Fungi; Ascomycota; Dothideomycetes; Dothideales; Saccotheciaceae. The record is from RNAcentral.